CCUGAAAUAUUUCAGUUAGUGUGCAAUGAAUCUAAAAUAUAUGAAUGUUAAAUUUUCAUCAUGACAUUAUGGAAAAUAAUGAACUUUAUAACAAUAUGCUAAUUUUUUGAGAAGGACCUUGUACAUCUCCUGCUCCUUCAUCAUCCUCAUUGCCAUCAAGACUUCUGGUUACGCCAUCAUUGCCUCACAUUCCUUUUUAUGUGUUUCGUGAGGGGUUUGAGGGGUUCAGGUUCCUGCUCAAGAGGGGUUCAACGAGGGUGUCCAGGUGGACCCGCCUCGUGUUCCUGCUCCUGAGUUCUCCGACGAGGAUGUAGACAUACUUUCAUCUACGUCUCCAGAGCCUCUCCAUGGUUUGGCGCUGUUCUCCAGAACUCCUUCAAGAGUUCUCCUGGCAUCCACGUCGCUCUCCAGAUCUCUGUCGAGGGUUCCAGCAGUUCCACCAGCAUUCUCCAGUGUCCAUAAUCAGGACUACCGCCCGGGUGUUGUUCCUUUAACCUCAGUGAAGUGUCUUAGUAAUUAAAAUAAAAGUACCUACUAUGAGGUGUUAAACAGUCUUUGACCAGCAGAAGGAUUAGUGCGCCUAUAAGGUCCUGAGUAAGGAAGGCCUUUGCGGACCAGUACGCUGGUGUGGACUCCGCAUAACUCUGACAGUAACUAGCUGUGAAACGUGCAUUAAUAAAGCUGCAUCAACAGAGACUAGAACAGACGAGCGUCUCCUCCACCUGAUCUACUGCCUUCAACACUGUUCAAAAAAAGGACUGAGACGAGAUAAAAGGGCCAAUGAGGAGAGAGAAGACAGCAUGAGCAACAGAAAGGCACUGCCUAACAGACGACACCUGAGAAUAGGACAGAUGACACAUGUGAAGUUACUCAUUCAUGAAAACAACAGAUAAUACUCUAUUUACCAAUUAGGAGACUUUUGAAGAAGGUUGGAUGGACUUGACUUUAUUUAGAUACCAGAUUAAGGGGCUUUAAAUAGAAAGGUAUGCCAGACUGAAAGCUGUGUAUCAUUUCCCUCCACUUCUCAAUCAUCCACUAGCUUCUGUAGGUCUUUCACACCCAAUUCAUUGACGUUUGUGGCUGCAAGUUGACAAAAUGGGAUUUAGGCAGCAACAUACAGCACCUUGCCAAAAUAUCCAAACCCCUUGAACUUUUUCAAGCAUUAUAUUGACUGUGCUUACAAACUAGUUUACAUGAAUUAGGCCAGUAAUGGAUUAGAAUUUUAUGUAGGUCAGAUCUGCUCUGCGUCAGGGUGAAUUCAGACCUUUCAGACUAGUUCUUGCAUUUCUAGUUAAGAUUAUGCUUGUUAACACACUUCUUAUUAAAUGUACAAAUUUUCCUUUAAAAGUAUUCAGUCCGUUUUAAUUUCUCUCACUUACGCCAAGUCUCCAUGUCUCUGCAGAUGGAAAACACUCCACAUCAUGACUCCCUCACCAGUGUGUUUGUGCCUUUGAGGGGAUCUUGAGUAGGGAGAAAUGUUUUGGUAAACUAUGCCAUACAGCAGUGGUCUAAUGGUGUCCAUGAGGGUUUAAUGUUUUAGAUUCAAGUAAUGCAAAAAGAAUUUCCUCUGGACUUAUUGACACAUGUAAGAUGUUGCAUAAAGUCUUCGGCAAACAGUCACAAUUUUCAUACUUUUUUUGCUAGAAUUUGUUACCUAAGAGGCUUCUUAACUUUGGAGAUAUACAUAUGUUUAAUGAGACAGGCAGGGUCUUCAAAACUGACUGAACCUACAAAUUUAUGAAUUCACACGAGGAAAGGAAAAGGACUGUUACAGUCUCUUGCAAUAAUAUUCGUAACCCAUGAACUUCUUGCAUUUUGUCACAUUUUCAACCCAACUUUUGAGUGCAUUUCAUUAGGAUUUUAUGACAGAGCAACAGGAAGUAGUGCUUAAUUGUGAAAGGGGAGGAAAAUGUUAUUUUUUUUUUAUUCUUGAGAAUGUGGUCUGUGUAUGUGAUUACUCUUUUUCUGUCGAAAGUCUUUCAAGUCUUAUCACAGAUUCUUAAUUAUGUUGAGGUCUGCACUUUGACUGGACCAUUCUAACACAUGAAUAUGCUUUGUUCUAAACCAUAUUAUAUUGUAAUUCUGGCUCUAUGUUUAGGGUGGUUGUUCUGCUGGAAGGUGAACCUUUAACAGUCUUAAAAUCAGUCUACAAGGUACUAGGCUUACUAUUCCACACACUAAUUUACUAAUCUCCAAAUAAAAAUCAGAACAAUGUGACAUGCAUUUGUAUUUUGCACCCUUUACUCUAAUACCCCUAAAUAAAAUCAAGUGCAACCGCAGGCCACUUUCUAAGCAACCUGGGGUUCCUUAACACCUCAGUAGUUCCACAGGCUGAUCACCUCCAUGCCACUCUGCAUUCAUGCAGCAAUUCAUGCAUAAGGUGUCCUGACUAAGUACUGAGUCCAUAUACUGUACUUUACAAUAAUAUGUGCACAUACUUCUCAGGCUAAAUUUAUCUUAAAUUCCUUUUUUAAUAAAUAAUAUAGAAAUGUCUUUUUUGUCCCACAGUGGGGAGGAGCAUCAGCAGCAAAGUAACAGACAAUGGAAGCAUGCAGAUACACACAAGAAAUAUAUAUAAAAAAAACUAAACAUAGGAAUAAGAGACUGUAAAGUAAGGGAAAAUAAAAAUUAAAUACACUAUACACUUAUUAGAAAUAGCAUACUAUGAUUAAAUGAAAUGUGCAACUGAGUAGGGCAAUUUUGAAAAUGUACAAAAUGUGCAUGGCUUUAUGAAAUAUUGUAAUUUUCUGAAAAACAGGUUUGAUUUUUCAUUAGCUGUAAUCCAUAAUCAUUAAAAUGAACAUAAAUAACAACUUGAAAUAUUGCCCUGUGUGUGACGAUUCUCUAAACAUUUUUAACUGAAUUACUGAAAUAAAUUCAAUUUUUGAUGAUAUUCUAAUUUAUUGAGAUGCAUAUAUACUGAACACUGAUAUUUAAAAUGCAAUAAUUUAAAAAAGUUACACUUCAAACAACAACAAAACAUGCUUUUACCACCAACGUGAUAUUUACACAACUUGGCUGCGGAACUACUGGUAGCCGAAAGCGGUUUACCCUCGGACUCUUUUAUAGUAACUCCAAAACGGCUGAAACCAAGAUGGCGGCGUCCAUAUUUGUUUUGAGGAGUUCAUAAAUCCCAGUUUACUCACAGCCGCCAUCUAGCUUAGGUUUGGCAAACAUUACAUUAAGAAGCAAAGCAAACAAAUUAUGCGCUUCUUGUGUUUGGACAGGACCGUUAGCAUUUUGCUAAUAAUUGUGAUGCUAAUUCACGGUCUUUGUAAUUUGCACUUGUGUUGAUUUUAACCAUAAUGUUUGGCAGUGAUAGAGAACUAGAAAAGGAAGGGUCAGUGUUAGGCAGGGAGACAGCAGCAGAAGCUGGUCCAGAUCAGGGCACCUCCAGUCCCUCUUCCAUCAGGUCAGAAAUCAUUUAGGUAGAGCAACAACAUUUAACCCUGGAAAGUAUGAAUAUCUUGUGAAAUGCCACGUAAAGUCACUAAAGUCCUACACCUCAUGGUGAUUAGAUUUACCACAGCUUUAAUGUAAUGGUUUUAACUUUUAUUGCUUCGCAUACCACCACAUCUACAGCAUAAACAAUAUGGUCUUAUAGACCAGUGUUUCUUAACCGGGGUCCUGAGGGCCCAUUGCUGUUCCUGUUUUCGAGGUCCACCACACCUGAUUCAGAUGGUUGCAUUAUUUCCUCGGCAUGCCACCCAGAAGCCUGUUAAUCACCCGUUUAUUGCAGUUGGGUGUGUGAGAGCAGGGAAGCACCUGGUCCCGAGGAUCAGCAUGGUUUCAGCUGAAUCCAUGAUCCAUGUUUUUGCCACAAUCUGGAACAGUACUUUCUCUGAUACAGACAACCAGAGUGAAGUUGUUGACUUAACCCCCCACCUCUCCAUGCUGCUGAGCCACCAGUCACCCAUCGGUGCUGAUCCUGCAGGACCUGAUGGUCAGCAGCUAUCUUGGAAACCAAUAUCUGCUUGCGUCAGUAUUCUGACAGUAGGCUAGUGUUAAAUAAUUAUAAAUUUGCUGCUUUCCAGAUUAUUCUGCUCCAAUAGGACCUGAUGACAUUUCCCAGACAAGAACAGGAGGUCCUGUGCAGCCUGUCCUUAAGGUUCUCUUCAAGAUUCAACAUGGCAAGCGCAAGAAGGCAUUGUAAUGAGUCGUGGUACAGAGAAGACACAUGGUUGGACUACUCCAUCAGUAGAGACUGUAUUUUGUUAUGCCUGCUGCCAGUUCACCCUUCCAGAUGCCCCGUCCUCUGCAUUCAGAACAGAAACUGGCGUCUCCAGCUGGAAGAAAGCUUUGUGUAAAGACGAUGGUUUUGAAGAUCCAUCCAAAGACCAUUAAAGAGAGAGAAAGUAGAACAUUAUGGUGAACCAGUCAUACAUGAAAACUAAUGCAGAAGUUCUGCUUUUAACUGCCACAUAGAAUAUUUACCAGAGGAGUAACGGGGGGGUCUGAGGACUCAGAUAAACGAGGCAACCUGUUGGUUAUUUCAGAAGGGAUAGCUAAGCAUGAUUCUUUUCUAGAGAAGCACAUAAAAGCUCAUGGUAAGCUUUACCAGCAAAACCAUUCAAAUUAAACAUUGGAAUGCAUGGCAGCAAUGUUUUAAGAGGAAAUAAUAAUAAGGGAAGCAGGGCUCGCUGCUUAAAAUGCUUUGGAAAAACAUGGGCUAGAAUAUCACACCCACCUGGUCAGUGGUAGGAUGGCGCUGCCACCAUGAGUGGCAAGCACUCAGAGUCUGUACAAGGAUACAGGAAGUUGCCAAAUACACGUGCGUUGUAAUGCUCAUUGUUUGAACCUUAUUGUUGAUAGUGUGAAGUCAGGCUCUGAGGCUGAUUGCCUUUUCUCACGUCUUUCAAAAACUAGAUUCUUAGUCUGGAUCAUACGUGCACACAAACUGGCAUGACAUUCAGAGAGAAAUGCAUGAUGGUCAGCCUCAUGAAUUUCCUGAGCUAAGUGACACCAGAUGGGAUUGCAGGUACAUAGCCUGUCACCACCUGCCUGAUAGCUUGCUCUCUAUCCAGUGCUCGUUUCAGUUACUGAUGGACUCCAAAGCCCAGCUGCGCAAUCAUGUAGGGAAAAGUAGCCGCUGUGAUACCAGUGAGCAAUGUUUCCUGUGAGCGCAGCUUAGCCCCAAGUGUGAAUAAAAAUCAUCUACAAUGACGGAUGAACGUUGAAUUGGAAAUGAAUCAAUUUAUGAGUAACAAAGGAAAGAAUAAUACUGUUCUAGAAAAGCAAAAUGUACAGCAGUCACCUACAUGGAACAAUGUAAAUGUUUGUUAGAUAUUUGGAACGGACAGUGUUUGUGAAAAAAUAAAAAGCUUUUAAAAAAUAAAAUGCUGAAUUUUCUCCCA
Girardinichthys multiradiatus is the source of this 5354-nucleotide long non-coding RNA. RefSeq lists it as uncharacterized. Lineage: Eukaryota; Metazoa; Chordata; Actinopteri; Cyprinodontiformes; Goodeidae. The transcript is spliced from 5 exons. The record is from RefSeq and is a predicted model, not a curated record.